UAGAAGGCUCAAUAGCCAUAGGAGUACUCCAUCAAUAAUCGGCCGAGAAGCCUUAUGACCACUCACUUAAGUACCAUGAAAAAAAGGCAAAAAAACUCAUAAAAACUAAAGAGAGAACCUGGUUUGAGAUUGGAAAUCCAUAUGCACUGCCAGAUCAGGGGCUGAUAGAAAGAAAAAAGGUUACGGAGAAGAAAACUCAUCGCAACCGCUACAUGAAGAAUUUGUUUAGGUUCAGGGAUGCUCCCAAUACAAAGACACUACCAGCUGGAGGAAAGGUGUGCUUUCCAAUGAUUACAUGUGUAUACGGAGUUCGCGCACUACGAGCUACCGUCGCCUCUCUCGCUAGGUUGAAAAACCAAAUGAAAAUAAAAAUCGGCCAUUCUUCCUUGCAAACAAACAACCACAACAAUAGAAACAAAGAAAGAAAAAGGAGAACAACUUGCAAAUCAAGAAAAUCCCUCUCCGAUAAGAGUAGAUCUACAACAAAACAACCAAAUCUUUAUUUAUUCACACACCCUUGUCUAAAGGAGGGAAGAGAAUAAACCCACUCUUUGGACAUGAGAGAAAUGAUAACCGUUCCAUGCCCAAAUAGGGUAGAGGACAAUCACAUCUAUUAAUUGCAGAAGAAGCAGUAAAAAAUAAAGAAAAACUUGAGAGCUUCUCUCUC
Molecule: long non-coding RNA, 667 nt
Filed under: Manihot esculenta (cassava)
Lineage: Eukaryota; Viridiplantae; Streptophyta; Magnoliopsida; Malpighiales; Euphorbiaceae
Description: long non-coding RNA (MESC_LNC006619)
Source: RNAcentral